Prunus avium (sweet cherry) is the source of this 1084-nucleotide non-coding RNA. The record is from RefSeq and is a predicted model, not a curated record. Lineage: Eukaryota; Viridiplantae; Streptophyta; Magnoliopsida; Rosales; Rosaceae.
UUGGUCUUUUCAGGACUGCAAUAUGGAUUCCAUCACCAUCAUAUGGUUUCUUUGAUCUUAUAAACAUCACAGCCGCGACGAACAAUUUCUCUUUCCAAAACAAGUGGAUUUGGUUCUAUCUAUAAGGGUGUGCUUUACAAUGGAAAGGAAAUAGCAGCGAUAAGGCUGUGAACAGAAGAUCAUAUGAAUACUUGAAAAAAAACAGAGCGCUUUUGAAUUGGACGAGAUGCUUCGAAAUAAUCUGUGGGAUUGCUGCUAUUGUGAUCUUAUAUCUUCAUCAAUAUUCAAGAUUAAGAAUCAUUCAUAGAGAUCUAAAGACAAGCAAUAUUCUACUAGAUGCUUCUAUGUACCCCAAAAUUGCAAAUUUUGGUACGGCUAGGAUAUUUAGGGAGAUAAAAAUGAAAAUAAAACAAAUCGUGUGGUUGGGACAUAGGGGAGAUGGAGAUGGUGUUGCUGCCUGCGAAGUGGUGGUUUGGUUGACGGUGUUGGGUGGGGUUGGGAGAGGCUGUUUGGAGUUGGGUGGGUUUGGGAUGGUGGUGGUUUAAGGGUGAUUGGACAUGACAAAAUAAUAAAAGACGUAUUGCCUGACAAAAUAAUAAAAUAUGUAUGACUAAUGGUGAUUGGACAUGAUGUCCUUUAGCCUGACGAACUCAUGUCACGAAUGGUUUAUUAUGGUGACAAACAUCGAUAGUUACGGACACAUAUGUAACACACUGAUUAAUAGGGUGACUAAAGCCUGUAGUCACGAAUAAAGGUGACUAAUAGUACAAAUAGUCACCAAAGAAAAGGUCACUGUUGUCCAAAUAUUUUGUAGUGUGUUAUGACUCAUACUUAUGAGAUGCGGGUAGCUUGACCAAAUUCAGUACGAUUUUAGGUGAAUUUGGCUUAACGUGGACAGUGGUGAGAGCUUAGGCACCUAUGACUAUGAAUAGUGCAAGUAGCUAAUAUUUUUCUUCUCAUGAAGUUUGGUUGAUUGUUUUAAUAUUAGAUUUUCAUAAUUAAAUCUUGCUAGAAUUUAUAUAAAUGCAAAAACUUCAGUCCAACCAUGUUAAUACCUACCUCUUGCUCCUCAUUUUAUUUUCUA